Long non-coding RNA from Clupea harengus (Atlantic herring), 743 nucleotides. NCBI's taxonomy places the organism in Eukaryota, Metazoa, Chordata, Actinopteri, Clupeiformes, Clupeidae. The record is from Ensembl.
GAGAGAGAGGAAGAGUGUGAGGUAGAGAAGGAUAGAGAGAGAGAGGAAGAGUGUGAGGUAGAGAAGGAUAGAGAGAGAGAGGAAGAGUGUGAGGUAGAGAAGGAUAGAGAGAGGGAGGAAGAGUGUGAGGUAGAGAAGGAUAGAGAGAGGGAGGAAGAGUGUGAGGUAGAGAGGGAUAGAGAGAGGGAGGAAGAGAAAGGAAAGGAGGAGGAGGGAGAAGAGAUGAAUGAAAAAUUUAGAGAGAGGGAGGGAGAAUGCACAGAAGAGAAGGAUGGCAAGAAUAAGGAAGAGAGAGAUGAUCAGAGAGAGGGAAAAGAGUAUUCUGUCUGUGAGGAGAAACGAGACGAAGAGCAAGACUACAGUGGCGGAGGAGAAGAGGAGGACAGAGAGAGGGAGGAGGAGGAAGAGCAAGAAUAUCAUGGAGAGAAGAGAGAAAGGUGUGAUGAAGUAGAGGGGGAGGAAGAGGAGGAUAGAGACAGGGCAGAAGAGUGUGAGGAAGAAGAGGGUGGAGAGAGGGAGGGAGAUUGUGAGGAAGACCUAGAAGAUGAUAGAGAGAAGAGAAAAAAGUUUGAUGAGGAAGAGGAGUAUAAAGAGAGGGAGGGAGAGGAGGAUGGAAAGAGGGAUGAAGAGUGUGAGGAAGAAGAUGAUGGAGUGUGUGAGGAAGAGAAGGGUGGAGAGAGGGAGGAAGAGUGUGAAGGAGAAGGGAAGGACUUGUCAGGGUGCCCUCAGUGUCAGAGAGAGCC